AACCCUUUGUGAACUUAUCCCAAAACGUUGCCUCGGCGCUGGCCGCCCCUCCCCCAGGGGAGGGGGCCCGAAUCCCAGGUGGUCAAACACCCGGGAGGAGGACAGCAGGCCCGCCGGUGGCCCACCAAACUCUUGUAUUCUGAGUAACAUCUGAGUAAAGCUUCUAAAUGAAUCAAAACUUUCAACAACGGAUCUCUUGGUUCUGGCAUCGAUGAAGAACGCAGCGAAAUGCGAUAAGUAAUGUGAAUUGCAGAAUUCAGUGAAUCAUCGAAUCUUUGAACGCACAUUGCGCCCUCUGGUAUUCCAGAGGGCAUGCCUGUUCGAGCGUCAUUUCAACCCUCAAGCCCAGCUUGGUGUUGGGGCAUUGCCUUCCCCCGGGAGGGCAAGCCCUGAAAUUCAGUGGCGAGCUCGCCAGGACUCCGAGCGUAGUAGUAAAACCCUCGCUUUGGACUGUUCUGGCGCGGCCCUGCCGUAAAACCCCCAAC
RNAcentral lists this ribosomal RNA (485 nucleotides) under Cytospora elaeagnicola. Its description in RNAcentral is "eukaryotic LSU rRNA". The stretch from base 177 to 330 matches the Rfam family "5.8S ribosomal RNA". Lineage: Eukaryota; Fungi; Ascomycota; Sordariomycetes; Diaporthales; Cytosporaceae. The record is from RNAcentral.